Molecule: ribosomal RNA, 468 nt
Filed under: uncultured bacterium
Lineage: Bacteria
Description: partial 16S ribosomal RNA
Rfam family: Bacterial small subunit ribosomal RNA
Source: RNAcentral
GAUGAACGCUGGCGGCGUGCUUAACACAUGCAAGUCGAACGGAAAGGCCAGUGCUUGCACUGGUACUCGAGUGGCGAACGGGUGAGUAACACGUGGGUGAUCUGCCCUGCACUUCGGGAUAAGCCUGGGAAACUGGGUCUAAUACCGGAUAGGACAAUGGUUUGGAUGCCGUUGUGGAAAGUUUUUUCGGUGUGGGAUGAGCUCGCGGCCUAUCAGCUUGUUGGUGGGGUAAUGGCCUACCAAGGCGUCGACGGGUAGCCGGCCUGAGAGGGUGUACGGCCACAUUGGGACUGAGAUACGGCCCAGACUCCUACGGGAGGGAGCAGUGGGGAAUAUUGCACAAUGGGCGCAAGCCUGAUGCAGCGAGGCCGCGUGGGGGAUGACGGCCUUCGGGUUGUAAACUCCUUUCGCUAGGGACGAAGCGUAUUUGUGACGGUACCUGGAGAAGAAGCACCGGCUAACUACGUG